GAUGAACGCUGGCGGCGUGCCUAAUACAUGCAAGUCGAGCGAACGGACGAGAAGCUUGCUUCUCUGAUGUUAGCGGCGGACGGGUGAGUAACACGUGGAUAACCUACCUAUAAGACUGGGAUAACUUCGGGAAACCGGAGCUAAUACCGGAUAAUAUUUUGAACCGCAUGGUUCAAAAGUGAAAGACGGUCUUGCUGUCACUUAUAGAUGGAUCCGCGCUGCAUUAGCUAGUUGGUAAGGUAACGGCUUACCAAGGCAACGAUGCAUAGCCGACCUGAGAGGGUGAUCGGCCACACUGGAACUGAGACACGGUCCAGACUCCUACGGGAGGCAGCAGUAGGGAAUCUUCCGCAAUGGGCGAAAGCCUGACGGAGCAACGCCGCGUGAGUGAUGAAGGUCUUCGGAUCGUAAAACUCUGUUAUUAGGGAAGAACAUAUGUGUAAGUAACUGUGCACAUCUUGACGGUACCUAAUCAGAAAGCCACGGCUAACUACGUGCCAGCAGCCGCGGUAAUACGUAGGUGGCAAGCGUUAUCCGGAAUUAUUGGGCGUAAAGCGCGCGUAGGCGGUUUUUUAAGUCUGAUGUGAAAGCCCACGGCUCAACCGUGGAGGGUCAUUGGAAACUGGAAAACUUGAGUGCAGAAGAGGAAAGUGGAAUUCCAUGUGUAGCAGUGAAAUGCGCAGAGAUAUGGAGGAACACCAGUGGCGAAGGCGACUUUCUGGUCUGUAACUGACGCUGAUGUGCGAAAGCGUGGGGAUCAAACAGGAUUAGAUACCCUGGUAGUCCACGCCGUAAACGAUGAGUGCUAAGUGUUAGGGGGUUUCCGCCCCUUAGUGCUGCAGCUAACGCAUUAAGCACUCCGCCUGGGGAGUACGACCGCAAGGUUGAAACUCAAAGGAAUUGACGGGGACCCGCACAAGCGGUGGAGCAUGUGGUUUAAUUCGAAGCAACGCGAAGAACCUUACCAAAUCUUGACAUCCUUUGACAACUCUAGAGAUAGAGCUUUCCCCUUCGGGGGACAAAGUGACAGGUGGUGCAUGGUUGUCGUCAGCUCGUGUCGUGAGAUGUUGGGUUAAGUCCCGCAGCGAGCGCAACCCUUAAGCUUAGUUGCCAUCAUUAAGUUGGGCACUCUAAGUUGACUGCCGGUGACAAACCGGAGGAAGGUGGGGAUGACGUCAAAUCAUCAUGCCCCUUAUGAUUUGGGCUACACACGUGCUACAAUGGACAAUACAAAGGGCAGCGAAACCGUGAGGUCAAGCAAAUCCCAUAAAGUUGUUCUCAGUUCGGAUUGUAGUCUGCAACUCGACUACAUGAAGCUGGAAUCGCUAGUAAUCGUAGAUCAGCAUGCUACGGUGAAUACGUUCCCGGGUCU
RNAcentral lists this ribosomal RNA (1372 nucleotides) under uncultured bacterium. RNAcentral describes it as "bacterial SSU rRNA". It matches the Rfam family "Bacterial small subunit ribosomal RNA", at positions 28 to 1381 of the family's 1533-position model. The record is from RNAcentral.